UACAUACUGGAUCUUUGGUCAAGUUCUUCUUUAUGUGCUCUGAUCUGACUCUUUUUCGACUUGAGGAGACUGUCGUGAUGUAGACGUAAACCAAUCCUGUAAUUGGAAACGAAAGCCCACUUUGACUCCUCUUCUGGCUUUUCCAGGUCGAUGCAUCAGAGAACUGGCGGGGAUUCGGUGUUACC
This is a non-coding RNA of Prochlorococcus marinus, 185 nucleotides long. NCBI's taxonomy places the organism in Bacteria, Bacillati, Cyanobacteriota, Cyanophyceae, Synechococcales, Prochlorococcaceae. The record is from Rfam.